GUGCUCUCAGCACAUAGACUAAAAUCAGAGCAAUUUAAAGAAGAUUAACAUGACCACUGCACAAAAAUGAUAUGCAAAUCCAUGAGGCAUUCCAUAUUGUU
Small nuclear RNA from Oryctolagus cuniculus (rabbit), 101 nucleotides. NCBI's taxonomy places the organism in Eukaryota, Metazoa, Chordata, Mammalia, Lagomorpha, Leporidae. The record is from Ensembl.